Molecule: ribosomal RNA, 492 nt
Filed under: uncultured bacterium
Lineage: Bacteria
Description: partial 16S ribosomal RNA
Rfam family: Bacterial small subunit ribosomal RNA
Source: RNAcentral
AGUGAACGCUGGCGGUAGGCCUAACACAUGCAAGUCGAACGGCAGCACAGUAAGAGCUUGCUCUUACGGGUGGCGAGUGGCGGACGGGUGAGGAAUACAUCGGAAUCUACUUUUUCGUGGGGGAUAACGUAGGGAAACUUACGCUAAUACCGCAUACGACCUACGGGUGAAAGCAGGGGAUCUUCGGACCUUGCGCGAUUGAAUGAGCCGAUGUCGGAUUAGCUAGUUGGCGGGGUAAAGGCCCACCAAGGCGACGAUCCGUAGCUGGUCUGAGAGGAUGAACAGCCACACUGGAACUGAGACACGGUCCAGACUCCUACGGGAGGCCGCAGUGGGGAAUAUUGGACAAUGGGCGCAAACCUGAUCCAGCCAUACCGCGUGGGUGAAGAAGGCCUUCGGGUUGUAAAGCCCUUUUGUUGGGAAAGAAAAGCAGCAGGUUAAUACCCCGCUGUUCUGACGGUACCCAAAGAAUAAGCACCGGCUAACUUCGUG